This 997-nucleotide long non-coding RNA is filed under the name Citrus x clementina. Its description in RNAcentral is "Citrus clementina (C. clementina) long non-coding RNA (CCLE_LNC006847)". Lineage: Eukaryota; Viridiplantae; Streptophyta; Magnoliopsida; Sapindales; Rutaceae. The record is from RNAcentral.
UAAUAGACUAGAUCAGCUGUUUUGAUACAAGUGGGCGUGUCCGAUAUUUUUCCAGAAAUUUAAAUCAAGUUAAGAGAUAGAAGGUGACGAAAGUAGGAGCAGUAAAUGCACCGCAGAUUAUAGGAGAGUGGCUGGUGGGCUUAGUUAAUUGUGCCUGCGAGCCUGUCCACUCAAUCAAUGCCAUUGUUUUGCACUGCUCCCGUAUUUUUUUCAAAAAUAUAAUUAAGAGUAAGAGUGUGUUCUUUCAAAAUUUCUUAAUGAGUAAGAACGUUUUUGUUCUACGGAGUGUUUUUAACUUUUAAAAACACGUUCUUGGGGAUUAGACAUAAGACACCGUUUAUCACUUCAUUUUUAAGCUAGGGAAUUACGGAGAGUUGUCUGAUGGCAGGCGAAUCUGAUUGGUCUUUGGAUCUGCAAAAGAUUUGUGAGUGUGAGAAACAAAUCUAUAUGUGCUGGCCCUGUAGUAAAUAAAUUAUUGAAUGAAUAUGAACAAAGCCAUUUGUCUACACUAAAGCAUUGGGGUUUGAUGCCCCAAUGCCAUCAAACAGGGCAUGUGCUAUAAACAGUCUUGCAGGCGGCUACCACAGCCCACACCCUGAAACAUGAAAUUAACAGCUGGGGCCUGGGAUUGGGGUGCUGGAUUUACACCGGCCAAUUUCGCUGUGCCGCAAUUAUAACGACCGAUAAUGCUAAUGUGCUACACAAGGACGGCCAAAUAAUCGGAUAUAGCCCAAAACUUCGUUCCGCCGAAUAGAGAGAGUUUCAAUUUACAUGGACCAAACACCAAACAAAUAUGAUGUGAACUCUAAUCGAUUUGAGGAUAAUAAGCUUAGUGUGAUUGAAGAAAUAACUGCAUUCUACUUAAUAAUGGCUGACUUAGACACUUAAAUUAGGUGAGGUCUAAUUCGAAAAAUUUUAAAUUUAAUUUGGGAUGCUUAAUUUUUUUUUACUAUUUACUUAAAGUACAUCUAAAGUGUCAAAAUUCAAAUUCUGUUGG